RNAcentral lists this ribosomal RNA (247 nucleotides) under Pacispora scintillans. The record is from RNAcentral. Lineage: Eukaryota; Fungi; Glomeromycota; Glomeromycetes; Diversisporales; Pacisporaceae.
CAGUCGCAUCCUUCAGAAAUCAACCCGACUUAGGUCUCGUGCACUUUCUGUUUGGAUGGGUCAGCAUCAAUUUUGACCAUUGGACAAAGACCUUGGGAACGUGGCAUCUCCGGAUGUGUUAUAGCCCAUGGAUCACAUACAGUGGUUGGGAUUGAGGACAUCUCAGUGCUUGCACUGCAGGAUGCUGGCAUAAUGGCUUUAAUCGACCCGUCUUGAAACACGGACCAAGGAGUCUAACAUAUAUGCG